AUUGUUCGCCACUCUCUUGGGCUUAACUUUGGUUUGAAGUUUGCAUAUUGAUUCUGCUUUCGCCUAGCAGCCUUGAGUAGCAUGCCACUGCUGGAGCUUGCAUAUGCUAUUCUAUGACAAUUCAUUAGAUUAUUGUAAUGAUAAUAUAGUAUCUAGCAGAACAUUUUGGAUGCACUAUUAGUAUAAUGAAAUUUGCCUAUGCUUCGAUCGACUAACAUUGUUGUUUGGUAGUGUCAUAACCUGCUAGCCUAGAACACUUAAGUUCAAGUUGGUAGUGAGUCCACUCAUAGCUUAUAAAACUGACUGAUUCACAAUUCACCAUGUGAGACUGAACUAGGGUGCUUUAAUCAUGCGUCAAGUUUGUCUUUCUCCAUUAAAAUUCAAAGUCUAAUUCAUAGCUUUGAAUCAUUCCAAUGUUGGCUAUACCAUUAACUUGGGAAGCUCCACCCUUAAAGCUUAAUCUAAGUUUAUAAAGAUUAUUUAUUAGUCCACAACUGAGCUUAGAAGUUUCUUUGUUAAUCCACAUCACGUGACACUGAAUUAUGGUGUUACGGGUAUUGAAUGUAUUUUAUAUAGAUCUUCCUGUAACUUCUGAGUUACUUUACUGCUAUCAGGUUGCAGCUAGUCAUACUAUAGUCAGUGCAAUAGUUGUUCGUAUGUUUGUGGAUUGGUCUAAUUUGCCUUGCCGAAAUGUUCGUUUGUCAAUUCAUAUUCUACAAUGACUUGCCAAAAGUUUAACACAAUUCGAUAUUUUCUAUUUUCUCUUAGCUUCCAUUGUUCUUUAAUCCCAUUCCGCUAGAAACCUAAGAUAUUGUUGCAUCUUCAGACUUGCUAAUUACAAACUGAUUAGACGAAUAUAACUUGUAGUUAUAUGCAUAUCCUUUGUUCCUCAUCAACUUCUUUUAUCUCUUUUACGACAUUAUUGAACUAAUUAUAGAGGUUUACUGAAUUACACAAGGAUUGUUUGAAUCCUGUUUACAACAAUUUAACAGUGGUAAAAUUGAAACCUAUUUUAGAAUACAAAGACAACAAAUUAGGUGAAGUUGCUUCAAGAUUUAGUGUUUCUCCUCCUUGUACAAACUGCUUAACCCAACAGAAAAAGUUAUGAGUAACAUAUGCCAUCAUGGUUUUACUUCAUAACAUUAGUUAAGCUUAUGAUUGAUUAUGUUAACAAUUAGUAGUUAAUUCUGGAUCAAUGUCUUUUCUAAAAGAAUCUGAGAAAAUCAAUGUUUUUAAAUAUGCUUCAUACUUGAGACAGUUUGGUGUUUUCCAUUGAACUAAUUCCAGGAUGAAAAUUGGGAGAAUUGGCAAUUAAAUUCUUCCAAUUUUGUCGCAAAAUCUAAUUGUAAGGACUACAAUAGCUUCCGAAAAGAGGUGGCAGUUUCAUUGGAUGAUGUGUUUGCCGACCCCAAUGCUACAGAUUUGGUGUAUUUAUGAACUAGGACCGUCGACUACGAUAACUCUCAUUGAUGAUGGUGUUGCUCACGGUCAUAGCUAGAAAAGAGACCUCUUGGUGGCUUCACUCUAACUCAUUGUCAUCUGAGCAAAGAAUGAACACAUGGAGUUGAACCAUCAAUGAAGAUGAAGUAACUGGAAACAGAGGCAAGUCGAGGAGCUCUCUACACCAUGCCAUUGUUGGGUCUUCCUUGCAACUCAGAUUCUAUCCACUCUCCAACCCUGCUGGAGAGGUAAAAGGCUUCAACUUCAAAUACUUGUCGGCUGGGUUUGAUUGCCCUCAUCAGGACUCUUAACUGCUGAACUUGAGCUCCAACAUUUUCAGCUCGUUCUCCUCGUAGCUUUGGCACAAAGAACGCACUAGUGCAAAUAUGUGAGCGACACAGCCAUAAAUGGGAUCUUGAAUCCUAGCUUGAGCCUCAUAGGAGAUGGUAAGCGCAGCUUCCGACCUGUCUGAGACCGGGAGGUGCAUGAGGAGCUUUGAGGCAUUGCUCGCUCCG
This is a long non-coding RNA of Zingiber officinale, 1955 nucleotides long. RefSeq lists it as uncharacterized. Lineage: Eukaryota; Viridiplantae; Streptophyta; Magnoliopsida; Zingiberales; Zingiberaceae. The record is from RefSeq and is a predicted model, not a curated record. The transcript has 3 exons.